This 1374-nucleotide ribosomal RNA is filed under the name uncultured marine bacterium. RNAcentral describes it as "bacterial SSU rRNA". It matches the Rfam family "Bacterial small subunit ribosomal RNA", at positions 27 to 1391 of the family's 1533-position model. The record is from RNAcentral.
GAUUGAACGCUGGCGGUAUGCUUAACACAUGCAAGUCGAACGGAAACGAUACUAGCUUGCUAGUAGGCGUCGAGUGGCGGACGGGUGAGUAACGCGUAGGAAUCUACCUGAUAGUGGGGGAUAGCCCGAAGAAAUUCGGAUUAAUACCGCAUAAUCUAUUCGUAGUAAAGUGGGGGACUUUCGAGCCUCACGCUAUCAGAUGAGCCUGCGUAAGAUUAGCUAGUUGGUAGGGUAAAAGCCUACCAAGGCAACGAUCUUUAGCUGGUCUGAGAGGAUGAUCAGCCACAUCGGGACUGAGACACGGCCCGAACUCCUACGGGAGGCAGCAGUGGGGAAUAUUGGACAAUGGGGGCAACCCUGAUCCAGCAAUACCGCGUGUGUGAAGAAGGCCUGAGGGUUGUAAAGCACUUUCAAUUGUGAAGAAAAGCUAGUGGUUAAUAGCCAUUAGCCUUGACAUUAACUUUAGAAGAAGCACCGGCUAACUCCGUGCCAGCAGCCGCGGUAAUACGGAGGGUGCAAGCGUUAAUCGGAAUUACUGGGCGUAAAGCGUGCGUAGGCGGUUUAUUAAGUCAGAUGUGAAAGCCCCGGGCUUAACCUGGGAACUGCAUUUGAAACUGGUCAACUAGAGUAUGGUAGAGGAAAGUGGAAUUUCUGGUGUAGCGGUGAAAUGCGUAGAUAUCAGAAAGGAACAUCAAUGGCGAAGGCAACUUUCUGGACCAAUACUGACGCUGAGGUACGAAAGCGUGGGUAGCAAACAGGAUUAGAUACCCUGGUAGUCCACGCCGUAAACGAUGAUAACUAGCCGUUGGGGGGAUUUACCCCUUAGUGGCGAAGCUAACGCGUUAAGUUAUCCGCCUGGGGAGUACGGCCGCAAGGUUAAAACUCAAAGGAAUUGACGGGGACCCGCACAAGCGGUGGAGCAUGUGGUUUAAUUCGAUGCAACGCGAAGAACCUUACCUGGUCUUGACAUCCUGAGAACUUUCUAGAAAUAGAUUGGUGCCUUCGGGAACUCAGUGACAGGUGCUGCAUGGCUGUCGUCAGCUCGUGUCGUGAGAUGUUGGGUUAAGUCCCGUAACGAGCGCAACCCCUAUCCUUAUUUGCCAGCACAUCAUGGUGGGAACUAUAAGGAGACUGCCGGUGAUAAACCGGAGGAAGGCGGGGACGACGUCAAGUCAUCAUGGCCCUUACGACCAGGGCUACACACGUGCUACAAUGGGAAGGACAAAGAGCCGCGAAGCCGCGAGGUGUAGCUAAUCUCAGAAACCUUUUCGUAGUCCGGAUUGGAGUCUGCAACUCGACUCCAUGAAGUCGGAAUCGCUAGUAAUCGUAGAUCAGAAUGCUACGGUGAAUACGUUCCCGGGUCUUGUACACACC